This 1110-nucleotide long non-coding RNA is filed under the name Gadus morhua (Atlantic cod). RNAcentral's name for it is "lncRNA (ENSGMOG00000029599.1)". The record is from RNAcentral. Lineage: Eukaryota; Metazoa; Chordata; Actinopteri; Gadiformes; Gadidae.
AUGUAUUACAUUAAGGGUGGAAAGGCAGGGUUUUGCACACUUUCAGAGUCAAAGAGACAGGAUGCUGCAGCAAUCUGGACACACAUGGAUCCAGUCCUAAAAGAUAUCAAAACGAGAUAUCCGCAGGUUACCAGUGUGCACUUUUGGUUUGAUGGUCCAAGUAAACAGUAUAAGAACCAGAAGAAUUGUUUCCUUCUGUCUUGUAUCCCCCCUACACUGGGGUUUGAAAGAGCAACAUGGAACUUCUUCCCCACUUCCCAUGGUAAGGGGGCACCACACGGCAUUGGCGGUACAGUGAAAAGAACAGCUGACAACCUGGUCCUGAGAGGAACUGAUAUGACAGAUGGACACACAUUCUUUGAAAAGGUCUCAAACAGUCUGAAGAGCGUUCAGCUGUACCACGUUGCAGAAGAAGACAUGCAAAGAUACGAUACACUUCUCAUGUAUCCUCUCAAACAGGUUCCCUCAACAAGACAAAUACAUCAGGUCAUCCCACAUGAUAACAGGAUCCACCACAGACAACUAUCCUGCUUUUGCAGCAAGACGUUGGUUUGCCAGUGCUUCUGCCCAGCUACCUUCUAUUUCCAUGGCUACCCAGAGAAACAGCACAGUGAUGCAAGGAGGGCAGCGAAGAAAAGACCUUUGGCCAUGUUGUUGGAGGACAUGGAAAAAGAGAUGGAAGGGGAGAUGGAAGAGGAUCUGGAAAUGGAAGAUGUGAUGGAGGAGUUGGAUGAGGAGCUUCUGAAAGGUCCCGAGGGUACUGUGACAGUUACGACUGUUAGCAGCCUUAAUAAUGGAGACUGGCUAGCAGUAGUAUAUGAUGGCCACUGGUGGCUAGCCAAGACCAUUGCUGUGGAUACUGAGCAUCACGAUGUGGAGUUUCUGCAUCCCCAUGGUCCAACAGCAAAUUAUCAGCCUAAGCUUCUCACAAAGGAUGUCUGUUUCUGCCCAGUUGAAGACAUCAUAGUUAAACUAAUGGGAAAUGCAUCACCAGUCAAAUUAAGAACACGAGAGAUCUACAGCAUAGCCCCUGAUGUGAUGGACUUCAUAGAGCGUGAGCAUGUCCGACGCCUGUUGCUCAAGGCACAAGUGCGGGUUAGACAAAAAUGA